Molecule: signal recognition particle RNA, 299 nt
Filed under: Callithrix jacchus (white-tufted-ear marmoset)
Lineage: Eukaryota; Metazoa; Chordata; Mammalia; Primates; Cebidae
Description: Metazoan signal recognition particle RNA (ENSCJAG00000057326.2)
Rfam family: Metazoan signal recognition particle RNA
About the family: The signal recognition particle (SRP) is a universally conserved ribonucleoprotein. It is involved in the co-translational targeting of proteins to membranes. The eukaryotic SRP consists of a 300-nucleotide 7S RNA and six proteins: SRPs 72, 68, 54, 19, 14, and 9.
Source: Rfam by way of RNAcentral
GCUGGGCACGGUGGCGCGUGCCUGUAAUCCCAGCUACUCAGGAGGCUGAGGCAGGAGAAUUGCCUGAACCCAGGGGGCGGAGGUUGCGGUGAGCCGAGAUCGCGCCAUUGCCCUCCAGCCUGGGUAACAAGAGCAAAACUCCGUCUCAAAAAAAAAAAAAAAAGUGGUUUUUUUUGUUUUGUUUGGCUUGGCUUUUUUUGAGGCAGAGUCUCGCUCUGACACCCAGGCUGCAGUGCAGUGGGGCAGUCUCGGCUCACUGCAGCCUCCACUCCCUGGCUCAGGCAAUUCUCCUGCCUCAG